AAGUAAAGAAGUAAAAAAUUACAUUUAGUUUCGACCUAAAAGUAGAGUAUUAAACUCCAUGCUUU
RNAcentral lists this transfer RNA (65 nucleotides) under Gigantometra gigas. RNAcentral's name for it is "tRNA-Arg". The record is from RNAcentral. Lineage: Eukaryota; Metazoa; Arthropoda; Insecta; Hemiptera; Gerridae.